This 73-nucleotide transfer RNA is filed under the name bacterium. Its description in RNAcentral is "tRNA-Thr". It matches the Rfam family "tRNA". Rfam says of the family: Transfer RNA (tRNA) molecules are approximately 80 nucleotides in length. The record is from RNAcentral.
GCCGAUGUAGCUCAGUUGGUAGAGCAACUCCAUGGUAAGGAGUAGGUCGCCGGUCCAAAUCCGGCCAUCGGCU